RNAcentral lists this ribosomal RNA (589 nucleotides) under uncultured Corynebacterium sp. Its description in RNAcentral is "bacterial SSU rRNA". It matches the Rfam family "Bacterial small subunit ribosomal RNA", at positions 28 to 628 of the family's 1533-position model. The record is from RNAcentral. Lineage: Bacteria; Bacillati; Actinomycetota; Actinomycetes; Mycobacteriales; Corynebacteriaceae.
GACGAACGCUGGCGGCGUGCUUAACACAUGCAAGUCGAACGGUAAGGCUCCAGCUUGCUGGGGUACACGAGUGGCGAACGGGUGAGUAACACGUGGGUGACCUGCCCUGCACUUCGGGAUAAGCCUGGGAAACUGGGUCUAAUACCGGAUAGGACCGCACCGUGAGGGUGUGGUGGAAAGUUUUUUCGGUGUGGGAUGGGCCCGCGGCCUAUCAGCUUGUUGGUGGGGUAAUGGCCUACCAAGGCGGCGACGGGUAGCCGGCCUGAGAGGGUGGACGGCCACAUUGGGACUGAGACACGGCCCAGACUCCUACGGGAGGCAGCAGUGGGGAAUAUUGCACAAUGGGCGGAAGCCUGAUGCAGCGACGCCGCGUGGGGGAUGACGGCCUUCGGGUUGUAAACUCCCUUCACCAUCGACCAAGGGUUUCUGACGGUAGAUGGAGAAGAAGCACCGGCUAACUACGUGCCAGCAGCCGCGGUAAUACCUAGGGUGCGAGUGGUGUCCGGACCAACUGGGCGUAAAGAGGUCGCAGGGGGGUUUUUCCCGAAAUAUGUGAAAUUUCCCGGCCUAACUCCCGGGGCGGGCAAGU